UAGAAUUAGGGUUCGAUUUCGGAGAGGGAGCAUGAGAAACGGCUACCACAUCUAAGGAAGGCAGCAGGCGCGUAAAUUACCCAAUCCUGACUCAGGGAGGUAGUGACAAGAAAUAGCAAACCGGGAACCUCAUGGUUUCACGGUAUUGCAAUGAGAACAAUUUAAAACCCUUAGCGAGAAUCAAGUGGAGGACAAGUCUGGUGCCAGCACCCGCGGUUAUUCCAGCUCCACUAGCGUAUAUUAAAGUUGUUGCAGUUAAAAAGCUCGUAGUUGAACCUCUGUCUGGGGCUAGUUUUGGCUUUGGUCAGGCUAGUUCUAGGCAUCCGCCUACAAGACUUAGAGGGCAUUCAGUUGUUCACUAGGAGUAGUAGGCAUUUUACUUUGAAAAAAUUAGAGUGUUUAAGGCAGGCAAUCGCCCGCAUAUAUUAGCAUGGAAUAAUAGAAUAGGACACUUUUCCAUUUCGUUGGUUAUUGGAAUCGUGUAAUGAUUAAUAGGGACAGUUGUGGGCAUUUGUAUUUAGUUGUCAGAGGUGAAAUUCUUGGAUUUAUUAAAGACAAACUAACGCGAAAGCAUUUGCCAAGGGUGUUUUCAUUAAUCAAGAACGAAAGUUAGGGGAUCAAAGACGAUCAGAUACCGUCCUAGUCUUAACUACAAACUAUUCCGACUCAAUGUUUGACUGGCUUAUAUAACCAGUUGAGCGUUGUAUGAGAAAUCAAAGUCUUUAGGUUCUGGGGGGAGUAUGGUUGCAAAGCUGAAACUUAAAGGAAUUGACGGAAGAGCACAACCAGGAGUGGAUUCUGCGGCUUAAUUUGACUCAACACGGGGAAACUUACCAGGUUAAAACAAUAGUGGGAUUGACAGUUUGAGAGCGCUUUCUUGAUUGGUUGGGUGGUGGUGCAUGGCCGUUCUUAGUUGGUGGAGUGAUUUGUCUGCUUAAUUGCGUUAACGAACGAGACCUUAACCUGCUUACUAGACUGGCGAUCAUCAAUCGUUAGCUCUUCUUAGAGGGACUUUGGUUGUUUUAACUCCAAGGAAGUUUGAGGCAAUAACAGGUCUGUGAUGCCCUUAGAUAUCCUGGGCCGCACGCGUCAUACAAUGACUAGUUCAGAAAGUUUUCUCCUGACCCGAAAGGGGAUGGGUAAUCUUGAUAAUACUAGUCGUGUUAGGGAUCGAUCUUUGCAAUUAUAGAUCUUGAACGAGGAAUUCCUAGUAAGUGCGGUUCAUCAGACCGUACUGAUUACGUCCCUGCUCUUUGUACACACCGCCCGUCGCUUCUACCGAGUGGGUGGUCCGGUGAGAUAAUUGAACUUCGCAGGUAACUGAGAGGAAAGAUUAUCAAACCUAUCCACCUCGAGGAAGAAGAAGUCGUAACAAGGUU
RNAcentral lists this ribosomal RNA (1379 nucleotides) under metagenome. RNAcentral's name for it is "SSU rRNA". It matches the Rfam family "Eukaryotic small subunit ribosomal RNA", at positions 365 to 1801 of the family's 1831-position model. The record is from RNAcentral.